UCGAGAAUCUUCGGCAAUGGGCGAAAGCCUGACCGAGCGACGCCGCGUGCGGGAUGAAGGCCUUCGGGUUGUAAACCGCUGUCAGAGGGGAUGAAAUGUUCGGGGGUCAUCCCCCGGAUUUGACAGAUCCUCAGAGGAAGGACGGGCUAAGUUCGUGCCAGCAGCCGCGGUAAGACGAACCGUCCAAACGUUAUUCGGAAUCACUGGGCUUAAAGGGUGCGUAGGCGGUGUAGUAAGUUGGGUGUGAAAUCCCUCGGCUCAACCGAGGAACUGCGCCCAAAACUGCUGUGCUAGAGGGAGACAGAGGUGAGCGGAACUUCAGGUGGAGCGGUGAAAUGCGUUGAUAUCUGAAGGAACACCCGUGGCGAAAGCGGCUCACUGGGUCUCUUCUGACGCUGAGGCACGAAAGCUAGGGGAGCGAACGGGAUUAGAUACCCCCGUAGUCC
This 446-nucleotide ribosomal RNA is filed under the name uncultured prokaryote. Its description in RNAcentral is "bacterial SSU rRNA". It matches the Rfam family "Bacterial small subunit ribosomal RNA", at positions 355 to 796 of the family's 1533-position model. The record is from RNAcentral.